This 253-nucleotide ribosomal RNA is filed under the name uncultured bacterium. RNAcentral's name for it is "partial 16S ribosomal RNA". It matches the Rfam family "Bacterial small subunit ribosomal RNA", at positions 524 to 776 of the family's 1533-position model. The record is from RNAcentral.
UACGGAGGGGGCGAGCGUUGUUCGGAAUCACUGGGUGUAAAGGGUGCGUAGGCGGUGCGUUAAGUCUGAUGUGAAAGCCCUGGGCUCAACUCAGGAAUGGCAUUGGAAACUGGCGGGCUUGAGUGUGGCAGAGGGGGGUGGAAUUCCGCGUGUAGCAGUGAAAUGCGUAGAGAUGCGGAGGAACACCGAUGGCGAAGGCAGCCCCCUGGGCUAACACUGACGCUCAGGCACGAAAGCGUGGGGAGCAAACAGG